ACCAAAGGGGCCACCACCACUAGAAAUAACCACUAUUGUCGAAGGGGACACCGUUGUUAACUAUAUCAUGAACCCUCGUUGAUUUUGAUUCUGGAUCCGCUGCCACCGAUUGUUAGCAGUGGCGGAUGUAGUCUGGAGUGCAUGCACCCCACUUAAACGUGAGUUUCACCUUAUAAAUUACACAAAAAUUUUAAUUUAUUCUAUAAAAUUGUAGAAAUUGUCCCCAGUUAGUUGGUUAAAUGAUGACACGCUCUUUUACAAAUUUCCGUUUUUUUUUACUCUUCUUGCUUUUUCUUAUUGACAUUAUGUUUCCCAUGCCCAUCUCCCUUUCAUAUAUUAACCCCAUUUCACUUUUAGUUUUGCUCUUUUUGAAAACAAAAAAAAAACUCAAGAAACUCUAUCUAUUUUUAUAAGUUGUAAAAAACAACCACCAAUUUGUUGUUUUGCUGGCUUCAACCGUUACUAGAAGGGUCACCUGCCACCCCCACUAUAAGUAAUCACUAUUGGUGAAGGGACCAUUGUUAAUUGAUAAAUUAAAUAUCCUUUUAUUUUUUGUUCUUACAAAUCUUCCAAUCAAAUUAAGUGAUGACAUGUGUCACAUUUAAUGUGCAUUUAAUGAUAUUUAAUAUACUAAAAUCACACAUGUCAUCAUUUAAUUGGGUAGGAGGAUUUGUAGGAAUAAAAGUAGGAGGAUAUUUUCUCUUGUUAAUUAUAUCGUUCACCUGGUUGAUUUCGAUUUUGGAUCCGCCACCGGUUGUUAUUCCACAUUAAUCAUAGGAAAAGAUUUUAGCUGCUAUUAAUCACUAGUUGCUAGAUUCACUUGUGCUUUAUAUUUAUGAUUUAUCCAGAUAGCCAGUUUUCUUAUUAUCACCAAAUGCAGCUCAAAUCUAUACAUUGCUGAUAAACAUCACAACAUAAGACUGACCUAAUCAAUUUCACAAAUGUAUACAUUUUAGUACAUUGUAAACCACACCUCUAUACUUGUAAUUAUUACAAUUUUACACCUUUAAUCAACACAGCAUCACCAUAAAAUUACUACAUGGUGAAUUAUUUUACAAUAUCUCGAGUUAUUCAACAUAAUACAUCAUACCAAUCAAAGUACUUUUUCAUGCAUUCAAUCAUAUCAUAUCUCCUAUCAAAGCAUGAUGCAGUUGCUUGGUAGUUGAUAUGAAAUCCCAUUAAUAUCUGCCUUUUUGUUUUUAACAUGUUUUGGAGUUCAACUGUAACCUGGCAUACAUUUUCAUAUUUAUUCACAUGCAUUAAUCAUAAUAAUUGUAUAAUAAAUCAAAGUAAACUCAUAUUCAUACCCUAGUAUCAUUGUUUCUGUUGGCACGUAGUUCUUUUGUGGUUGUGGUUGGCUUAGCUGGAGACUUACGUGUGCAUGUAACUCAUUAUUAUUGCAAUGCAAUCCAUAAACCUAAGGUUCAGAUCAUUAUAUAUGCUCAAUGGUGAUUAGAAUGCAUUUAUUAAUUAUACUUGGAAAGAUUGUCUAGAUCAGUACCUUCUUCAGUUCUGCUUGUUCUUGAAGCAGGAGAUCUAGUUUCUUUUGCAAUUCUUCAUUUUCUUGAGCAACAAGACUCCCCUAAAAUGAUAUGAAUCAGAAUUCAGAAUCUGUUUCAUGCAUAAUCUAAGGAAAUUAACAAUUAUUGUUUGUUUUUUACCUUGUGGUGUAAUUCUUUUACUUCAAUUGUUAAUGCUUGUUCCUGUAGCAAGAGAUAAAUGUAAUUAGUAUUUGGCUUUGUUUCAAUGUUCAUAUCACUUCACUCUACACACAAUGAUACUUAUGUUUGAUUAUGAAAUAAUGUUCUUCAUAUUUAGUAACAACUGAACUGAUAUAUUUGUGUGGAUGACAAUAACAUGAGAAUUCCUACCUUCUUUGUUCUGACACCCUUUAGACUCCUUUCCAGUUGGGCUUCUAGAUUCUGGAGAUCAUUGACAUUCAAACCAAAAAGUUCUUCGCCCAACAGCUGCCUGCAAGAAUG
RNAcentral lists this long non-coding RNA (1982 nucleotides) under Lactuca sativa (garden lettuce). RNAcentral describes it as "long non-coding RNA (LSAT_LNC005731)". Lineage: Eukaryota; Viridiplantae; Streptophyta; Magnoliopsida; Asterales; Asteraceae. The record is from RNAcentral.